Molecule: ribosomal RNA, 140 nt
Filed under: uncultured eukaryote
Lineage: Eukaryota
Description: partial 18S ribosomal RNA
Rfam family: Eukaryotic small subunit ribosomal RNA
Source: RNAcentral
CGGUGAGGUGACUUGUCUGGUUAAUUCCGAUAACGGACGAGACCUCGACCUGCUAACUAGCAAACAGUUACAUACAGUAAGUGUUUGGCUUCUUAGAGGGACUUUGUGAGUCUAUCACAAGGAAGUUCGAGCCUAUAACA